CACGUAGUUAGCCGGGGCUUUCUCGUGAGGUACCGUCACCACGCCGCCUUGUUCAAACGGCGCUCCUUCGUCCCUCACAACAGAGCUUUACGACCCGAAGGCCUUCUUCGCUCACGCGGCGUCGCUCCGUCAGACUUUCGUCCAUUGCGGAAGAUUCCCUACUGCUGCCUCCCGUAGGAGUCUGGGCCGUGUCUCAGUCCCAGUGUGGCCGGUCACCCUCUCAGGCCGGCUACGCAUCGUCGCCUUGGUGAGCCGUUACCUCACCAACUAGCUAAUGCGCCGCGGGCCCAUCCGCAAGUGACAGCCAAAGGCCGCCUUUCAACCAAAGACCAUGCGGUCUUCGGUGUUAUCCCGGUAUUAGCCCCGGUUUCCCGGAGUUAUCCCGGUCUUGCGGGCAGGUUGCCCACGUGUUACUCACCCGUCCGCCGCUGACCAAACAAGAGCAAGCUCUCAUUCGGUCCGCUCGACUUGCAUGUAUUAGGCACGCCGCCAGCGUUCGUCCUGAGCCAGGAUCAAACUCU
Molecule: ribosomal RNA, 521 nt
Filed under: uncultured Geobacillus sp.
Lineage: Bacteria; Bacillati; Bacillota; Bacilli; Caryophanales; Anoxybacillaceae
Description: partial 16S ribosomal RNA
Source: RNAcentral